UGUAGGUAUCGUGUUCAUCUUUUGUCUGCUCAGUGCUUUUGCUUCUUCGUUUAAUCUUUGCUUCUUGCUCGAAUUCUGCAUCUUCCGAUUCUGAAGGGAACAACGGAAAAAUAAGAACACCCUAAAUUUGACCAAAUAUGGACAUGAAGGAACAGAGGAUGGAUUUUAAGUCGAUAAUGAAGGAGGCUGAAUUUCUGGGCUCCGCGCAUAUGACAUGGAAGGAAAAAAAGGAGUUGGAGAACAAGAGAGUAGUUGCGCUUGGUGGGAAGCCUCAGAAGAAACAGAGAUUACCACUUAGUGUAGCACGAGUAAUGAUGAAGAAACAGAAGGAAAGGGAGGAGAAAAUGCAAGAAGAGAAUUUGGUACUUGGACGAUUCGGGGGAGCUAGUAGUUCAAGAAAAGCAGCAGGAAGGCGCAGACCAGAGGAUAGGGUGCUGAAAUCAACUGAAGGUAACUUCAGAAACGGUGUGCUUGAUGUUAAACAGUUACUAAAACCUUCUGCGCCUAAAGCAUCAUUUGAUGAUGGGAAGAAGCCUUUUUCUUCGGGUAAAGGGAAGAAGAAGAAAAAGGGCGGUAAAAAGAACAAGGGUAA
Molecule: unclassified non-coding RNA, 592 nt
Filed under: Hevea brasiliensis (rubber tree)
Lineage: Eukaryota; Viridiplantae; Streptophyta; Magnoliopsida; Malpighiales; Euphorbiaceae
Source: RNAcentral